Molecule: ribosomal RNA, 468 nt
Filed under: uncultured bacterium
Lineage: Bacteria
Description: partial 16S ribosomal RNA
Rfam family: Bacterial small subunit ribosomal RNA
Source: RNAcentral
GACGAACGCUGGCGGCGUGCUUAACACAUGCAAGUCGAACGGAAAGGCCCUGCUCUUGUGGGGUGCUCGAGUGGCGAACGGGUGAGUAAAACGUGAGUAAACUGCCCUUGACUUUGGGAUAACUUCAGGAAACUGGGGAUAAUAUCGGAUAGGAGCUCCUGCUGCAUGGUGGGGGUUGGAAAGUUUCGGCGGUUGGGGAUGGACUCGCGGCUUAUCCGCUUGUUGGUGAGGUAGUGGCUUACCAAGGCUUUGACGGGUAGCCGGCCUGAGAGGGUGACCGGCCACAUUGGGACUGAGAUACGGCCCAGACUCCUACGGGAGGCAGCAGUGGAGAGUAUUGCGCAAUGGGCGGAAGCCUGAUGCAGCGGCGCCGCGUGCGUAAUGACGGCCUUCGGGUUAUAAACCGCUUUCGCCUGUGACGAAGCGUUAGUGACGGUAAUGGGUAAGGAAGCACCGGCUAACUACGUG